UGCUACAGCUAUACAUGCAGUCGAGCGGACAGAUGGGAGCUUGCUCCCUGAUGUUAGCGGCGGACGGGUGAGUAACACGUGGGUAACCUGCCUGUAAGACUGGGAUAACUCCGGGAAACCGGGGCUAAUACCGGAUGGUUGUUUGAACCGCAUGGUUCAAACAUAAAAGGUGGCUUCGGCUACCACUUACAGAUGGACCCGCGGCGCAUUAGCUAGUUGGUGAGGUAACGGCUCACCAAGGCAACGAUGCGUAGCCGACCUGAGAGGGUGAUCGGCCACACUGGGACUGAGACACGGCCCAGACUCCUACGGGAGGCAGCAGUAGGGAAUCUUCCGCAAUGGACGAAAGUCUGACGGAGCAACGCCGCGUGAGUGAUGAAGGUUUUCGGAUCGUAAAGCUCUGUUGUUAGGGAAGAACAAGUACCGUUCGAAUAGGGCGGUACCUUGACGGUACCUAACCAGAAAGCCACGGCUAACUACGUGCCAGCAGCCGCGGUAAUACGUAGGUGGCAAGCGUUGUCCGGAAUUAUUGGGCGUAAAGGGCUCGCAGGCGGUUUCUUAAGUCUGAUGUGAAAGCCCCCGGCUCAACCGGGGAGGGUCAUUGGAAACUGGGGAACUUGAGUGCAGAAGAGGAGAGUGGAAUUCCACGUGUAGCGGUGAAAUGCGUAGAGAUGUGGAGGAACACCAGUGGCGAAGGCGACUCUCUGGUCUGUAACUGACGCUGAGGAGCGAAAGCGUGGGGAGCGAACAGGAUUAGAUACCCUGGUAGUCCACGCCGUAAACGAUGAGUGCUAAGUGUUAGGGGGUUUCCGCCCCUUAGUGCUGCAGCUAACGCAUUAAGCACUCCGCCUGGGGAGUACGGUCGGCAGACUGAAACUCAAAGGAAUUGACGGGGGCCCGCACAGCCGGUUGAGCAUGUGGUUUUAUUUCGAAGCAACGCGAAGAACCUUUACCAGGUCGUGACAUCCUCUGACAUCCUAGAGAUAGGACGUCCCUUCCGGGGCAGGAGUGACAGCUGGUGCAUGGCUGGUCGUCAGCCUCCUGUCGUGAAAUGUUGGGGUUAAGUCCCGCCACGAGCGCCACCCCUGAUCUUAGUUGGCAGCAUCAUGGUCACCUCUGAGAGUACUGGCGUGAACGACCGAGGAGUGAGGAUGACUCAAAUCAUCAUGCCCCGUUAUGGACCUUGGGC
Molecule: ribosomal RNA, 1189 nt
Filed under: Bacillus sp. (in: firmicutes)
Lineage: Bacteria; Bacillati; Bacillota; Bacilli; Caryophanales; Bacillaceae
Description: bacterial SSU rRNA
Rfam family: Bacterial small subunit ribosomal RNA
Source: RNAcentral